Choloepus hoffmanni (Hoffmann's two-fingered sloth) is the source of this 107-nucleotide small nuclear RNA. The record is from Ensembl. NCBI's taxonomy places the organism in Eukaryota, Metazoa, Chordata, Mammalia, Pilosa, Megalonychidae.
GUGCUUGCUUCGGCAGCACAUAUACUAAAAUUGGAACAACACAGAGAAGAUUAGCAUGGCCCCUGUGCAAGGAUGACAUGCAAAUUCGUAAAGCGGUCCAUAUUUUU